Cherax quadricarinatus is the source of this 354-nucleotide non-coding RNA. NCBI's taxonomy places the organism in Eukaryota, Metazoa, Arthropoda, Malacostraca, Decapoda, Parastacidae. The record is from RefSeq and is a predicted model, not a curated record.
GUGUGUGUAGACGCAUCUUUAUUCGCUUAUGUCUGGUUGUUGUUGUUCUUGUAAAUGAUGGCUGACCUACUGAGUUAGCUCGUGGCUGCAGAGUUCCAGCUGAUAGUUUCCUGGUGCUAAUAACCUCGUAGUCGAAGCGCUUAAAGAAGGAAGAGAGGGAAAAUAUCAGUUGAAGGAACACAAGAAGAUUUUGUAAACAAAUGUGUGUCUGAAGAAUGUCUCAGAAAAAUAAUCUAUUUGAUGAUGGCUCUGAUGGAGAAGAAGAAACAUUACAAAUUAAUAAAACCUAUGCUGCAAAAUAUGAAGAAUGGAGAAGAGGAGAGGAACUGGAAAAGCUAAAAAAUUAUUUGGGGA